GACGAACGCUGGCGGCGUGCUUAACACAUGCAAGUCGAGCGGUAAGGCCCUUUCGGGGGUACGACGAGCGGCGAACGGGUGAGUAACACGUGGGUGACCUGCCCUUAGCUCUGGGAUAAGCCUGGGAAACUGGGUCUAAUACCGGAUAUGACUCCAUGACGCAUGUUGUGGGGUGGAAAGCCUUGUGCGGCUAGGGAUGGGCCCGCGGCCUAUCAGCUUGUUGGUGGGGUGAUGGCCUACCAAGGCGACGACGGGUAGCCGGCCUGAGAGGGCGACCGGCCACACUGGGACGUGAGACACGGCCCAGACUCCUACGGGAGGCAGCAGUGGGGAAUCUUGCGCAAUGGGCGAAAGCCUGACGCAGCGACGCCGCGUGAGGGAUGACGGCCUC
This 391-nucleotide ribosomal RNA is filed under the name uncultured bacterium. RNAcentral describes it as "bacterial SSU rRNA". It matches the Rfam family "Bacterial small subunit ribosomal RNA", at positions 28 to 418 of the family's 1533-position model. The record is from RNAcentral.